Molecule: long non-coding RNA, 322 nt
Filed under: Nicotiana benthamiana
Lineage: Eukaryota; Viridiplantae; Streptophyta; Magnoliopsida; Solanales; Solanaceae
Description: long non-coding RNA (NBEN_LNC034310)
Source: RNAcentral
UGAAGUGAUUUUUUUCCUUAUUCUGCCUUGACAAACCGUUUGAAGUAGACUCCUUAAUUAAAGGAUUCCAAUUGUCUUAAUUGACACUAAUUGAUUUCUAUUUCCAUGUUUGUGCACUCUUUACCUAUGUACUGCUUGUCUACAAAAUUAUAUAAGGAGCUGUCUUCCCUCUUUUAAUUACAUACUUUCUUGCAAUACUGUUUUGAAUUCAACACUUUGCUUUGCUUGAGAUCUUUUGGAACUACAACUUGGCUCUCUCAAAGCUAUUGUUCCUUUACUUGUUUUUCCUUUGAAACUGGCAUGUCUUUCAUUUAAAUUCUCU